This 77-nucleotide transfer RNA is filed under the name Lachnospiraceae bacterium. RNAcentral's name for it is "tRNA-Asn". The stretch from base 12 to 70 matches the Rfam family "tRNA", at positions 7 to 64 of the family's 71-position model. From Rfam's summary of the family: Transfer RNA (tRNA) molecules are approximately 80 nucleotides in length. Lineage: Bacteria; Bacillati; Bacillota; Clostridia; Lachnospirales; Lachnospiraceae. The record is from RNAcentral.
UCCGGUUGCAUAUCAAUCAAUGGUAGAGCACGCGGCUGUUAACCGCGGGGUUGUAGGUUCGAGCCCUACUCGGGGAG